AGUGGCGAACGGGUGAGUAAUGUAUCGGAACGUACCUUUCAGUGGGGGAUAACGUAGCGAAAGUUACGCUAAUACCGCAUAUUCUGUGAGCAGGAAAGCAGGGGAUCGAAAGACCUUGCGCUGAUUGAGCGGCCGAUAUCAGAUUAGCUAGUUGGUGGGGUAAAGGCCUACCAAGGCGACGAUCUGUAGCGGGUCUGAGAGGAUGAUCCCCCCACACUGGAACUGAGACACGGUCCAGACUCCUACGGGAGGCAGCAGUGGGGAAUUUUGGACAAUGGGGGCAACCCUGAUCCAGCCAUGCCGCGUGAGUGAAGAAGCCUUCGGGUUGUAAAGCUCUUUCGGCCGGGAAGAAAUCGCAUAGGCUAAUACCCUGUGUGGGAUGACGGUACCGGAAUAAGAAGCACCGGCUAACUACGUGCCAGCAGCCGCGGUAAUACGUAGGGUGCGAGCGUUAAUCGGAAUUACUGGGCGUAAAGCGUGCGCAGCGGUUUCGUAAGACAGAGGUGAAAUCCCCGGGCUCAACCUGGGAACUGCCUUUGUGACUGCGAGGCUAGAGUACGCAGAGGGGGGGGGAAUUCCACGUGUAGCAGUGAAUGCGUAGAGAUGUGAGAACACGAUGGCGAAGCAGCCCCUGGGCGAUACUGACGCUCAUGCACGAAGCGUGG
RNAcentral lists this ribosomal RNA (665 nucleotides) under uncultured Dechloromonas sp. RNAcentral describes it as "bacterial SSU rRNA". It matches the Rfam family "Bacterial small subunit ribosomal RNA", at positions 94 to 764 of the family's 1533-position model. Lineage: Bacteria; Pseudomonadati; Pseudomonadota; Betaproteobacteria; Rhodocyclales; Azonexaceae. The record is from RNAcentral.